GUAACAAGGUCUCUCGUUGGUGAACCAGCGGAGGGAUCAUUACUGAGUUUACGCUCUACAACCCUUUGUGAACAUACCUAUAACUGUUGCUUCGGCGGGUAGGGUCUCCGCGACCCUCCCGGCCUCCCGCCUCCGGGCGGGUCGGCGCCCGCCGGAGGAUAACCAAACUCUGAUUUAACGACGUUUCUUCUGAGUGGUACAAGCAAAUAAUCAAAACUUUUAACAACGGAUCUCUUGGUUCUGGCAUCGAUGAAGAACGCAGCGAAAUGCGAUAAGUAAUGUGAAUUGCAGAAUUCAGUGAAUCAUCGAAUCUUUGAACGCACAUUGCGCCCGCCAGCAUUCUGGCGGGCAUGCCUGUUCGAGCGUCAUUUCAACCCUCAAGCUCUGCUUGGUGUUGGGGCCCUACAGCUGAUGUAGGCCCUCAAAGGUAGUGGCGGACCCUCUCGGAGCCUCCUUUGCGUAGUAACUUUACGUCUCGCACUGGGAUCCGGAGGGACUCUUGCCGUAAAACCCCCAAUUUUCCAAAGGUUGACCUCGGAUCAGGUAGGAAUACCCGCUGAACUUAAGCAUAUCA
Molecule: ribosomal RNA, 574 nt
Rfam family: 5.8S ribosomal RNA (bases 215-368)